CUGCAAAGAACACAAGCAUAAAUCGUCUGAAAAAGGCCCCUGUGCCACCUGUAGAGCAGUUCUGGAAGAUCAAACGUUAUUCCUGCAGUACUAUGAGCUUGAUUUUGCUGCCAGUUUUCUAAACUACAAUCUGUUUUGCGGCUGAGCCACUGAGGUUGAAGAUGUCUCAUUUCUACAUGUUCUGCCUUUUCAGACAUCCAGUGCCAAAGGGCUUCAGAUUUACCCGAGGCUAUUGUCUAAAACUGCAUUGAUGACAUCAGAAAGAAUUCUCUGUGUACAGACUCUUCAGAUCUUUCUGAGUUGGCCUUUAUAAGAUGCUUGCAAUUUCCCAGGAGGCAGUGGAUCUGUAGGAAGGCAGGCAGGGGUAUAAAUCCAUAAAGGUAAGGACGCUUCCCUUAUUCAACUGAAACAUCUAAAAGAAGAAAAUUCUUUUCCGCGAGGUGUUGUUCAAAGAACUGAAGGCCUGGAAUAAUUUAUCCGGCUCCUACAGCACAAUCUUUGGCAACAACCCUGCUGGGGAAGAAUUACAGAAGAGAAGCUAAGGGAGACUUCAUUGUGGGGGCUCAGUGAUCUUGUCACUGUCACAUCUUCUGUAUGCCUGCAGGAAUUUCACCCAAUGUGUUUACUGGCAAUAUAUCAUUCAGUAAUGUCUCCCCACAGCAGUGGUCUGUACUGUGCCUCCAGAUGCAUAUCCAUGGAACUGCACAGUUGCGUCUGGGCAUGAUGCCAUUCUGGUGCUGUUCGGCCUGAAUGACGGAAACAAAGCAAAGUUUGAGAGUCAUUCCGAGCCAGGAAUUGUUUCCUGUCUGACAAAACACUUUCAGAGAGCGUUUAUUAGAAUCCCAUAAGCUCCUUUUUGUUGUGUGUUUGCACAGCACCUGGCACCACGGGACCCUGGUUCAUGACUGGGGACUCCUAGGCUCUACAAAUAAUAAUAAUACUGUGUACUGUCAGCAUGCACUUAGAUUGUAAGCUCUCUGCAGCAGAGACUGUCUCUGUGUGUAAAUGGCCUAGCACAAUGGGCCCUCAAUCAUAGUAGCACAGCUGGGAAGAGAACCGUCUGUCAUAAUCUGAUCUAACCACUGCCGCAUGGUGCCUUCAUGAUAUAGGAAUUCAGGAUGGGGAUAAGCCUCUUACCUGGUUCCUCGGUGAGCAUGGUGUGUUUGGCCAGGCUUUGAAGGAACAGCCAGUCCCUUGCUGAUGAGUCUAGUUUUCCCCCAUGCUGCGGUGUCGCUCUCUACAAGACAUCACAACAGGAGGAGUUAAAACAAGAACAUGUUGUCUGUGGUUAUCUGCAUACAGACCUGCCAGUCAGAUGUGGAAAAGCAGCUAUUAGUUUGUAUCAGCUGAUCACAAAAGCCACAGGCUGGUUAAAUCCCAAUGUGCCCAUCACAUAUUUCAGAGGUCAAAAAAACCAAACAGAUAAUGAUUACGAAUGAUUAAUAGAACAGUAGCUACUAAGCCCAGGGGGUUAGCACAACAGAGAAUAAGGCUAUAUAUACACAUUUCGGUGUCAGGUCAUUUACAGACCUCUGGUAAAUAGCUGAAUUAAGUGUUGCACUGACUCGCUUUGUCCGUGGAGGGUGAUUUUUCAUAGUGAUACACUGUCAGGAUAAACACAGAUCCAUCUUUGUGAAACACCUUUUACAGCUGACCCAGCCCCUUGUGCCAUGCAGGAGAAGGGAGGACAAAGGAUGGCAAACAUCGCAGGGGGCCACAGGACUGGGCAGCUAAGAUGCAGUGGGGCUUUUCUUGGGUCUAAUGUGCUUGGAAAAGAGCGAUGAGGGCUCUAAAUACUCUAAGAGCUUCUUUGGUGUUUCUGGUUAACGCAGUCAUGGAUGUGGAGACAGUGCAAACAAACCCCAGUGUUCUAGAGUGAGAGAAGCCUUUCCUUAGGGGGAGAGAGAGAGAGCGUAGCCCUGCCACUUCCUCUUCACUGCCCCUUGACUGCAGUUGUGAGCUUGGCCCUGAAUCGGUGAGAUCAGACUUGUACCCACCUGGAUGGCUCACAGAGAUUAUAGCUCAUGCUACCUUCAGGUCACUACCUGCAGGUCUACGGGAAUGAGAGCUGUUACCUUCUCACCCAGUUGUGUUGGCCUGUGUGAAAUGGAUUGAUGGUUUCAGACUCAUCUCUAGUGGACAGGUGUCCACCUCACUUAAACCAGUAUUUAUCCAAACAGGCAUGCUCAUCAGCCAUUGAAUGGCCUUGAGGUAGUGAGGAAGAGUGGUCUUGUGGUUAAAGCAGUACAGUGGGACUCAGGAGUCCUGGAUUCAACUCCUGGCCCUGCCACAGACUUCUUGUGAUACCCCGGGCGAGUCACUUAAUCACUCUGUGCCUCAGUUUCUCCAUUUGCAUAACAGGAAAUGUCAUACUACUUUUAUCUGAGGCUGUCUACACCUACACUCUAUGCACUUUGGAGCAGGCCCUGUUUCUUACUAUGAGUUUGCAUAGCACAUAGCAUGAUGGGGCCUUAAUCUAGCAGCUACUAUAAACAUGAAGACAAACAAAAUAAUAAUGAGGCAGUGUCUCUAAAUGAGAGUGGCUUGAUACCACUCUUAUUGCUGCUCCUCAUGCUGUGUGAACUCUUCUGUGGAAGACCAGGGCAUCAUUUCCCAGUGCUGUUGAUUUGCGGCACCUUGCCCACUAAAUUUACACACACAUCAAUCAGAUCCAUUGCAUCCCAAAAGCUUUACAGUAAAUUCUUCAGUGCAGGUAUCUAAGAAACUCUCAGGGAAGAAUUUCACGCAGACACGCUUCUGUAAAAUAUGGUCAUUUUGUUUUUUUUAAAAAAGAUGUUUGUUAAAAUUCUGUUAGAAGCAAGUUUUUCCUCAUAUGAGAUGGGGGAAGGUAUGGGGAGGAAUCUUUUUAAAAGUGUUGCUCCAAGAAAACCCGACUUCAAUGAACUGAGGGAGUCUGGUUAAACUUUUAAACCCUGUGCUCCUUGAAGUGAUGCCUUUAAUGGUUAGUGCUGAAGCUGCUACUGACUGAGUUGAUCUUCCAGCUAUUCAAGCUCAAAAUAAACUCAUUGGGACACACAAAGGAUGUAAUUAUAUCUUUAUAAAAUUUGCAGUGGGAUUUGGGCAGGACCUAUGAGUUGAAGUCACUGCAUAUAUCUGUGUUGAUUCCAGGCUGAAGUUCAGAGAUUUGCUUAAUAACAGAACACCAUAGUUUUGCACGUCUAUAGUCCCUUUCAAUGGAGGAUCUUAAAGCACUAAUGAAUUAAGUUUGACAAUGCCCUUGUGAGGUAUGGAAGCAGCCUAUGGAGGCUGAGUGACUAACUCAUGGUCACACAGUCUGUAGGUGACAGAACCAGGAAUUCCCCAUCCCUUGGUGACUCCCCAUCCCUUGGUCUAACCUCUAGACAACCUGGCUUCCGCUCUAGUUUUCAGGGGGUGCAUUUGUAACAAGCCAGCGUACGCUCUUCAGACUAGAAUGAACAGCUGAGUCAUGGCAUCUAUGGUACCAAUUAUGGGUUAAACUUGAACAAAGCAAGAAGUUCUCCCCUCCGCUACAGCGUAUUAACAGGCAAAGGAGUUAAAAGUGCACAAUAAAAGAAAACUAACCUGGAAAGAGAAAUCCCCUUUCUUGCUGCAGACUGGUGGGUCCUUUGUAAUGGCGCUUUCCCCUUUAGGCCUGUUGGCAUCGUCUCUGCCAACUCUGGCUAGGGCGGCAUUAGCUGAUGGCUCGGGUGAUGUUUUGUGGAUAGAAGGCAAAUGCCUUUCCUAGCAUCUUGCUGAAUUGAGACAUGCCACUCUUGAUUUGCACACGCACGGUCCCCUCCCCACAUCACAGAGCACGCUGUUCAGAUUGCAUCUCCCUGCAGCACUUUCCGCCACAGCACAAGCUCCAGGCCAUGAUUAUAGAUCAGGCUUUAUAUCCUCCUGUAAAUCCCGUAUCCUGUAGCAGGUAUGUGUUAUAAACAUGUCUCCAGAGGAUUCCUUUUCUUUCCUUCAGUCGUCCACCCACUCAGUAACUAAAAUGCCUGAUUUUCAAUAUUCUUCUGUUAUCCUCUACUGUCCCAUGCAGGAUCAACCUUUUAAAACUGUUGGAUACGAGGAAAAUCGGAAAGAUUUUACCUGUUGGAGGCACCCAGGGGUUGUAAAGUUUACAUCCCCCCCCCGCCCCCCAUGACGGAUUACAUCUGUUUAGGAACACAGCUGUCAGUAUAAUUAACAAUCUAGUCCCACGGUAGGGAGCUGAGAAGUAGUACAAUGGAAGGAAUCUCUGCAGCACUUUGUCCUUCAGAGUAGCAAAUUAGACAGCCAUAAAUAUACCUGCAGUAAAGGGGAGGGGGUAGGAGAGGGAGAACAGGGAAGGCACAUCGGGAGCAUCUUAAAUUAGAACAAAAAUAACCCACUUGAUUCGCAUUGAUUAGCACGAGUCAUUUGCCUUACAAAUACCACUGUGCUAUCAGCUUUGGCUGAAAAUAGCGUGAAAACUCUUCAGGGCAGGAAACACAGUUCCUCCUGUGCGUGUACAGCUCCGAGCACAACGGGGCCCCAAUCUGGAUUGUCCAGUGAUACAGUUAUUAACCAUUAAUACUACACUGUACCAACAACUUGAAGAGCCCAAAGACAUCAGUUGGUUUUGAAAAUCCAAAUCCUGGCUUGUGCUACCCCAGGGUCCGCGCAGCUGAAUUUAAUCCUUGGGUAAGACAAUGGGCUGAUAGCCCUAUAAGCUCAAGUCCUUCAACUAUUCCUACAACAAAUACUGUAUAGCACAUGGCCGAUCUCUCAGGGUGAGGGGAAUUUAGUCUCCUUGACUCACGCAGCCCAUGGCAAAUCAGCUGGGGCAUGGGAACCGAGUAACGUCAGCUGCAGGAUUGUUAUUAAAAUGACUGCUACCCAGGCGGGAAGACUAUUUCAUUUGUGCUCCGCUCCAGCUAUUCAUUUCUGCACUUCCAUACCUGCAAAUCCUACUGGGACGGCUCACGCUCCACCCUUAGCUAGAUUCAGGCAAUAUCUCUGACCUCACAGUGGGGCUGUCGGAGGGCAAAAUAUGGUCCAGAGUGCGUUAAUAAACCAUGUCACUGUAAAUGAAAUAUAUUACAUCCUGUAAAGCCAAGAUUAUUUUAGGCACGCUCAACACUCAGACCAACUAUAUCUUGCCUCCCCAUUGAUCCAAAUGAUUCUGAGAACUAGAACUUGAAGACCUCAAAAAUAGACCUGCUUUGGUUUGACUUCCCAUCUUCUUAUUUUUAUAAGCAUACUGCAGAGUGCUCGAACUAAGCUGCAACAAAACUAGGAGUUUCUACCAGUCAUUGAAGUCCUAAAAUACAGUAGAUCAGGCCUGAUUUGUUAGUUUGGACUCUUUCCCCAAGCCUCUUCUUAGCAAAUACAUUUGUUAUUAUUUGUAUCGAGGUAGCACCCAGAGCCUCAUUCUGUUAGGCACUCUGCAAACACAGGAGACGCUAUGGUCCCUGACCGGAAGAGCUUUAGACCUGACAAACAAAUCAAUUCUUAUUUUAUUGAGGGAUCUGUAAUUUUUGUUCAAGUGGAUACAUUUCAGACCAAAUCCUACCAUCUGUGCUUAUUUAAAUGUAACCGGUCAUGAGACUGCAUCACUGUCUUCUACUAAAGGGACUCAGAACUACUCAAGCAUGUUUCAUCGGCUCUAUACAGCUAACAGUUAAUGAAGAUUCUCCAUUAGCUCACGUAGUGAUGACCUGUGCUUCUAGGACCAUGAAGAUCUGAGUGAAAUUCCUGUGUGUCCAUCCUGUACAACGUAGUGUGACCACUGCAAGGUCCUUUGGCAUCUCUGAAUUUGGUGCAAAAUAUUUUAUGGUCUGCCUUAAAAUCUCACUGUGGAUAUGAGGAGAACAAUUUAAUGACUCAAAACAAAAAUGGUGAGCUGCUUUUAGGACCAGGGUAUUUAGAUGGGGAAUUAAUUUUGCUAUUUCCCUAGUCUGGUUCCAGGAGCGGCAGAAAGAGCUCUGCAAGGUUAUAGCUCAUGCUAGCUAUCUGUGCAAGCAGAGAGGGAUGCCUCCAGGUCUCUUGCAGCCAAUAAAGCCUUUGGACCUACUUGGAUAUUUAGCUGCUAGAGGGCAGUUGGUUGCAUGGGUAACCUUUUCAAAAGUUCCUAUACGAUGUAAGAGCUUCCCAGCUUGUCUACACGGGGAAGCUAGUGCGGAGAUAGCUAGGGUGUGAAUUAAAGCACACGAACUCCCCAUGUGAACACUCUUACCCUGCCCCAGGAGUGCCUGUGUGCAGGUUAGGGUGCACUAGCUAAUCGGCACUAGCUACUCCAGGCUUUUCCCCACGUAGACCAGCCCUCUGUCCUAUUGAAAGUCAAUGAGACUUAGAGGCACACUUGAAAAUUUUACCCCAUGUCUCUUUUCAAGUCAUCUCUACCUUGAAUGGAGGGACAAGGUUUCCAGGGGAGAUGCCUCUUUCCCACACUUCUUAUGUUUUCGAUGUUCCCCUCCACUGAGUGAUGCUCUUCAGGAGAAGACAAUGCUGGGAUCCUGACAUUCCACUCCAGUGUAGACGAUCUGUCAGACAACACGGUUCACAGUUAACAUGGCCAGUGGGAAAACAGCCACUUCUAUGGCUGAAGGCGAAAGAAAAGAAAUACAUAAAUGCUAAGCAUGCACUGAGGAAAAAAAAAGAUCACGUUUGGCCUAAGUAUCAAAAUGUGCAGAUAGGAACCUCCUGCACUGACAGCCGUGGUGACGUGAAAGGCAGCAGCAGAUCAAGUAGCUCGCACGACUCUUAUGUUGCACACACAUCUUCAGAAACGUCACACAUACACUGUGGGAUCUUCCAAAGGGCAAAAUCUGGCCUUCAGCUUUAGGAGCAACAACCCACCUGCAUCAAGUUGUUAACUGGUGCCAAAGUUUGUGAGAGCGUGUACACGUGCAUAUACGAAUAUGUGUUUUGUAUACUCAAAUACAGCCAUAUACACAUCCGUAUGUGUGUGCACGAGAGUAUGGGUGUGUGUAAAGGGGGUGGAAUAGAGUCGAAGGGCCUAAGUCCCAUUUUCAGCAGUGCCACGGGCACGUCAGAGCAUAAGUCUCAUGGAAAAAUCAGUGGGACUUGGAUUACUAAACGUCAAAGUCAUUUCUGAAAAUGGGGUUUUGGCUCCUAAAUCACUCAGGCCAGGCCAUCACUACACUGCAGACUUCUGCCAGCAUCGUUAUGUCAGUCAGGUGUGAAGAGGUGUGAUCCCUGGCCGACACAGCUGUGCCAGCUGAAGCCUGAAGCGGAGAGGCAGCUGUACUGGCAAAGCUUCUAGUAAAGCUUGUUUUGCUCCUGGGGGGUGGUUUUCCUACACCAGCACCCAGAGCAGCUUAGCCUGCAUAGCUGCAUCCACACUGGAGCACUUUGCCGGGAUCGUAUACUGGUCUUCCUGUACCGGUGGAGCACUGCUAAUGUGGACAUCACCUCAGGUACUUUGAAAACGUUGACCUUAAGGUCCCGUCUGAUUCCCAUUCACUUCAGCGAGGCAGGAUCAGGCCUGAAGUUAAAAGAUGGCAUGACAAUGGCAGGCGGCUGGGCUCACGUUACCAGGUAACUCGUGCAAUGGCGCGUCACUGAACGGUUUUGUUGUCAGUUUUAAAUGCACUAAAUGACUAAGGCAAAGCGUCACGUUAAGGAUCCAUUUACAAAUGCUUCGCUGUUUAUUCAGUGGGGACCAAAUGCACCUUUGCUCCUUAAUGCCCAAUUGUACAGCACGCUGCAGGACAGAGACAUGGGAGUUGCAUUUCCUGUGAAUUUCAACCAGAACCUCCAGCCCCCUCAAAACUUCACCCUUACUGUUCUCAGCAAGUGGUAAUGGGGGAUUUCCUGGCUUGCUCGGCAAGAGAGAUGAUCCUAAAGCGCAGCACUACACACUGGAAAGCACGACUGUUUUCCUGAACAACGAAGGCAGUUGCUUACCUGGGAACAGUACUCAACUCCAUCUUCCAGUCUUCAAAUCUCUGAAGGGAUAACACAGGCCAGGACGGGACCAGGGCAAUGCACAGCUUGCCAAUGACCACAGCAAAUGCAGCCAGCCGUGGCGUAGGGUUGACGAGUCCAUCAUGACAUGGUGACGUGUCCAUGCUGGAUUUCAUCCCUUGGCAACGACCGCAGCUGUGUACUUCAAAAUUGCGUGGAGAACUACUGGCCUGCGCACUGCUGUGAGGACAGCUAGCCUAAGGGAGUUUGCAGCACAUCGAGCUGGGGUCCUAAGUCAAGGGAAUGAGGCAGAAGAUCAGUGUCAUUUGGAUCUUUGGAUGGUAAAGCACUGGCCUCAACUCCCCUUACCCAGACCUCCACAAAAGCCUAUCUACAUGGGCCUGGGUCCAGUUGGAUGGAGAUCCUCCACGGAGCCAGAGUGGCAAGUUUAGCUCAGAUUCGGGUUUGUGUGGCACCCUUCUUCCCAAAGCACAGACUUCAGUGCAGAGAGGGCAGUGACUGUGUAGGCAAACACACACCCAUAGCUCCCACAGCCUGGGAGAUACCUGUCAGAACAAGGGAACAUUUGCCAGCACUUAAUAAUAAUUAAUAACAAUGGUCCAAAAGGUCCUAGUGACACUUGUAUAAUGCAAUAUUUGGAGACAGUUCUGCAGUCCCCCUCUUCACCCCCCACUCCCCAUAAGGGACGGCGCUAGGCUUACUGGCUCCUGCUUUCAAAGAGUGCAAUGGGAUGGAUUGCUUACCUUCCAGCUGAGUGAGCCCUGUAUCACCAGUGCACCUGGACGAUGGUACCACCAAGAAUGCUGGCAUCCCUCCCUGCACACAUGGCGUCCUGACAGAGGGCUUGAUUUCAGAGUUGGAACUGCCCUCCAGGUGUUCAGCAGAGUUGUAUCGAUACCCAUCUGGGCUGGAUUUGGCCAGGGGCCUUCUGGUGCCUGCUACCACCUAAACCCUGACCCUACAAUCGGAUCUACAUGAACAGACCCUUGCAACUGUUGGGAGGCCUAUAUAAUUCAUUGGAGCUUGGUGUGAGUACAAGGGUCAACAGGAUGUUCAGGAUCUUAGCUGCCUGGUCACCAUUUGAUGCAAGCAGCUGAGUAUUGGGAUAAAACCUAGGACAUACUUUUCUUUCCCUGGCAUUCGUUGCCUUUUAGAAAAGGCUUAACAAAAGAGAGUUACAUCUUAUAAAGACAAUGCCAAGCUCUGCUUUAUUUUAAUCAGUUUGAUCAGUACAAAAGCAGACAGCGUAUGUUUCGCUUUUUUUUUUUUUUUUCCAUUUUAAUUAACACUUUACAAAGUACAAAAUAUACUGUCAUUUGUUUUGGAACAUGAGGGUUUUUUUUUUUUUCUUUUCCAUACAGUACAACAAAUCUCGAGUUUCAGCAAAAGACCAGCAAGUAAAAUAAGCAUGUGCACUCUCUGUGUAAAGCAAAACCAUCCAUCUUCCAGCUCCACGCUUCAUACAAGAACAAGAACAACACCCUUCGCUGCUGUUGCAACGCGACCGCGUGAAAUUCACCUCUGUGCAGAGGGUUGGCACAAGGGCUAUCAACCAUUUAAAUCUCACUGAAGCCUUUCCACCUCAACCUAGCAAAGACUGGUACAUGGACAUAAUUCUGCAUGCUGCAAACCGCCCCACUGGCUUCAGCUGAGUCACUCAACAUGCAUGUGUGUGUCAGUCUGUGCAGGAUUAAAGUCUUAGGGAACACAAGUGUUGCACCAGUCCCUCGCAUAGGGGUGAACUGCCCCUUCAGUCAGCCACUUUCCGGAACAUUGUUUUUUUUUUUUUAAAGAAAAGUCUCCAUCACAUCAUUUAUCCCAAUUAAAAAAAAAAAAAAAAGAUGGUUCCAAUUAAGGAACGGCUUUGUAAAUUCCCGUUUCUGCAAGACACCAGCAAAGACAGAACACAAUGGAAAUAAACAAGGCCGUGUUACCAAAUGUUUCUUUUCACACCCCCAGUCCCUCACACCCCACUGUACGAUAACAGCAACAAUUUUGCUCUCAGCACCAGGAGUGUUUGCCAAAAAUUCAGAUGCCAUUUAGGGCUUGAACGUAUCAUACUGGUGAUUAAGUUAUACAGGAAAGUUCAGCUCAGAUGCAUUGUGUUCAAGGAGUCUCUGGAGAUUUCAGUGGUGUUUAUCCCAAUUUUCCAACUGGGCUGAAUGAAGCACAAGGUGGGAAGGGUGACCGGCCAUAGGUCCUAGGGUUGGCAAGGCUUAGGAAUGAGAAUUUCUCUGAUCUGGUUAUUUGCCAGAAAACCUGAGCCACACAACAGCCUCCUAACUAUGGUCUGCUUCAGUCUGCUUAGCAGUAAUUUGGACCAGGGCUGGAUUUUUUAAUUCAAGAAAAAGAGUAAUCAAUGCCCUGUUCAAGUAAGUCACAACAGGAAUAAAAUGGCCAUUAACAGCGAAGUGCCCUAGGGAAAGGGCCAGAUUCUGAUGUGAGUUACACUAGGAGUAACUCUGCUAAAUGCAACAGAGUUUCCAAGGGGGUCUGACUGCAAGGGGGUUCUACACCAGAGUCUGUCCCAAAAUGCUCACCUAAGAAUUGGCAUGGUCAUUCCAUUAAAAUAGCCCAUCCAAAUGAAAGUUCUCAAGGUGCAGCCUAGGGUCGAGCUGUUUGAAGCAAAGUAACACUGAUGUUGGGAAAAUCCAACAUACAGCCCGCUCCACAAAGCCCUGCUCUCAAGUUUCUUUGCCUCAGACUUAGAAACAGGAUUUCAGGGCCCCCCCCCAGUUCAAAAUUCCAUCUACCAGGCCUAGGCCCACCAAGGACCUCGGGACUGGCCCUCCAUAUUCCUACUGGAGCGAUCAAGGUUAACUACUCACACAAGUAAAGGUUUACAGCAUCCAGCUCUGAGAGUUGGUGCAUUAAAUACAUGACCUCCAAGGGUAGCGUUAGAGAACACUGAAGAGGCAUGGCCCGUUCACUCAAUGGGAGCACUGUCAUUACAGUCUGACACCGGCAUUGUGGGUUCGAGGGCCUAGUUUUGGUUGACCUCCUAAAAAAUAACGCAGAAAGGAGUUUGCACUGGAAGGAAACGCUGCAGAAUUAGAGCCAGCACCAACAAACUAUCACCCCCUCGGACUACCCCUUCCCAGACUCCGACUCUAAGGCCAGCACAGUAUCUGGCAUGUGAUGAAACAAGUCCCCAGUCCUUCCUCAGUGCCUCUAAUGACCGCAGUGAAUAUCAGUUACCACAGGUAAAGCAGAGGGGGUUAUGAAUGAAGAGAGACAGUCAAUGGGACAGAGGGCUGGGUCCUGGUCCCACUGAAGUCAAUGGGAAUUUUGGUACCGACGUCAAAAGUGGAGCAGGGGCGGUCAGCAUUCUGCUCUGGAACUGCAGCUUAAGGCCACAGAUCCAGUAACUGAUAGCAGUGGUCACCUACCAUCAAUUGCAGGAUUAAGACCUAUGUUGUUAUUAACAUUAGCAGUGGGUUUUCCCACGUCUAUAGGAAACCUGCUGACAAACGAGGAUUGCCUUUGCAUUGGGAAAUAUUUUCAGAAUUGCACUCGAAGAGGCCAUCAAAAACAAUGGGAAAACGGACAUUCUUAUCCCCCCAGAGAAGUUUUAAAAAACAACCCCCACCUCAAAACCAAUAAAUGUAUUCUCCUGCCCCCUACGCUACAGUAUACGUUUACAAAGUCAGAGCAAAUAGAAACCCAGAGGAAGAUGGGAAUAGCAAAGAGCCUUGGGGUCUCAUUUUCGUUGAUACGAAGACCCCUUUUUUCAUUGCUCUGGCAGGGCUAAGAGGCUUUAAAGUGGGCAUGAAUGUAGCCUGCACCCAUUUGAAUUUCCCUUGACAUUGCCAGAAUGGCGUAAAGUGACUUUGGUGUAAAUGAGAAUCGGGCCCUUGGAGUUCUAAUUGUCAGCCCAGUGCUGCUGCGACAGAACAUUCUUUAGUCACCAAAACCUGCCGAUUUGAGAAUGAGCAACCGCGGAGGGAUGCGGUGGUGGUGGUGAUGAUGAUGAUAUCGAGGGAGGGGAAGUUAUUUUUUUUUAAAUGAAAUGCACAACAGAAGUAAAGCCUAGGCCUUCACCUCAAAGCAGACGUUACCCAUUCCCAACAUACAAAGGAAAAACUGGAAGUUUCUAUUGCAGAACUGUCUUUUUUAACCUACAAACAAGCAAACACAUCUGCCAAUGAGAUGUCCCUGAAUACUGACUGACUGGAUUUCAUCUCGGCCUAUGUGAAACGGCACCACACACGCACAAAAACACAAAAGGAAAACAUGGAGAACAGCUGGCAGAAAGGAGACAUUCAAAAUUCAAUUAUUUCUUCAAGACGAGACUAGCUAAAUAGAAGCAUAGUGCUGCAGGUUAACCAAGGAACGGUCUAGAACAGCUCUGGCACACCUGUGUGUGCUCCAGAUGAUGGGUUACGCUUCAGGAUCUCUCUCUUCUAACACACAUCCUAGUCUUGCUGAAGGGUAAAGGUCUCUGCUUUUCCAGACGUAUACGGGGGGGGGAGGGGAGGAGGGGGCGGCUUUUUACAUAAGGAUUUUUGUUUUAGCAGUAUUGCCAACCUCACACGUUCAAAAAUCAUGAGUCUCUGGACUCAAAAAAAUCAGAAUAUUUUUAAAAAUGAUAAAUUUGGGGUUCUUUUUCUUUGCCUUCUGGUUUCAGAGCUUUUUGGGUGGACUCAGGUUCAUUUUAGAGGUGGUACAUAUUCACGUGAUGCACUCAGUUCAAAUGCCCCCCUAUUUCCCUGCAAUCCAGCAUCCACUCUUAAGCAUGUGCAUAGUUUUAAGCAUGGAAAUAGGCUUGCACACAGGCUUUGCUGGAUUGGGGCCUUAAAGAACAUUGGUGUUCAGAACAGUUAUACCUCUAUAAAAAUCAGACUGGGGAAAAUGGUGGAGGUUUCUCUUUUUAGCACAGUGGCAUUCCCCUUGAAGGCUAAGAGAACUAGAAGCUUGGUAUUAGUUCAUUUUCAGAUUAGAAAAUAACUGGUAAGAAUUAUUAUUAUUAUUUAGCUAUUAUUGUAAUUGAUGAAGGCUGGUACCAAACCCACAACAUCCCGCUGGAAAGCUGAAAAAAACCCUACUGCAUAAACAUUGCCUUUCACUGAUCAAUAACAUGCAGCAACUGGAAACAAAUGAAUGAAGCCAUUUUUGUGAUAUUGCCCUAGUGGCAUACGAUAGGGGUUUUGAGUAGCUAGUGAAAGAAGAUGGUGAGUUCUAGCUAGAAAUGCUUAUGCACAACCAUGGUUCUUUACCUGGUCCUGAGCAUUUGCCACCAAUCAAACUCCUUCAGCAGAUACUAUAGUAACUGUUAAGUUUGAGGUAUUACUAUGUAAGCAGUGGCAGCCUGCUUGCAGCUGUACAAAACUCAGCCAUACCUUGAUUUUACACCCAGAGCUCAGGGCAGGUAAAAAAACAUAUCAAGUGGACCAAAGACAAACUCAGAACAAAACCAGAGAGACAGAACAAAACCAACCUGCUAAGGCCACCACAGCCCACUUGAAAACUGAGGGUGACAUUCGCCCCUUUGUCUAGGACCAGUCCAUCGCUUGGUGUCACUUAAAGUGGAUCAGAAGUACUACGUAGCCUUGAGAUGACCCUCUGCAUGGGGUGAAUUGCAUCCCUAAGUAGAGGGUGGGGGCCGAGAUGAGCCAUUUUCACUGCAUCUUGGCUUGAGUGUUUGCUCUGAGAUUUAUGGCCAUGCCUGGCCAAUGUUCCCUCUGCAGAGUCUAUGGGCUUUUGUUUUGAUGCUUGUUAAAGUAAAAGAGUUAGUUUUUCAUGUACGAAGAGAAGAGCAAAAGCAUGCUCUCUUCCUCCCCCCUUCGUGAAGUGUUUUCUGGCUCCUGUCGUACAAUUCUCUCCUGUUGCUGGCAAAGCCACUGCUGCCUCCUUUUGGCCCCAGCCCUCUCGUCAGCUCACACUCUGUGGUUUCAGCUCGGUUCUCCCGUCACUACCGGCAAGCAGCAACUCAGUUCUAGCUUAGGGAGCCAUCCAACUUAGUGGCAAAAUUCCCAUGGACUUCAGUGGCAUGGGAUCAGAGCCCGCCAUCAUCUUUCUGGAUACAGGGAAAUGGCCAGUUCUAUUGGCACACAGUCUAGUGGGGCCAACAUAAGGCUAUUAACAUACAAACUGCACACAUGUUUAUUGGUUUAAACUAAGACAAUUAGAUGGGGCUGGGGGGUAGGGGGAUGGGAAAGAGUAAAGCAGAGAUCAUUUAAAAACACUAGAUUCUUAGUUUACCAUUGGCCCACGGGAAUACAGGACUGAAUAAUGGAAAGAAUCUACUGCACAUAUGCGUGUGCAUGUAGCGUUUACAUACUGGCUGAGAAGUGCAAAGCUGUCGAAGGGAUCUGUAUGCUCGAUUUCUAUUAAUUCACGCACAUAGAUAUGUCUGUACAAUGGACACAUUAUAGAGGCAUACAGGCACGCAUAGAUGGGAAGUGGGCAUCCAUAUUUCUUAGGUAGCUUUAUAAAUCUCAGCCAGUACAUAUGCAUCCAAAUACACACACACACACAAAAAUUGUAUAUGGUAAAAGAAGUACUGGAUUUUACUAUCUGGCAGGUAAUAAAAGUUUAAUCCGUUCCAACGUUUAUAGACUGCAUUAUAACAGCUAAGUGAGAUGCGUUAAACUGCUUACUGUUGUUAAGAAUAAAAAAAUAAUAAGCUCCACCAGAAAAUGACUUCUUGUCCUUUAAUGAAUUCUUCUAGGAGACAUUUUUGCUUGUGAGCCAGCUGCUGAAGUUCAGACUUGUCUGGUCUAUUAUCUCCCACACAAUCACUCCAGUGGCUAGCAGGGCAACACCCCUCUCCCCCACAUAUAUUUUCCAUCAUCCUGGUAACAUUGCUAAGCUGUUGAAUGAGGCGCUCUUGAAACCACAGCCUACAGGGCAUGAGAUGUUACUUGCCACAUCUCUGCUUUCUUCACUCUGUUUUUAAGGUUCUGCUUUUCAGGAAGAUACAAUGCAUAGGCAGGAGGGAUGGGGUCGUCCCACAAAAAAAUAUCCCACAUGAUAAAGAGAGUGGAGGCAACCAGAUAGAAAACAAAUCAAUCUGAGGGAGCUCUCUCGCCUCCCCCUCAAGUCCCAUAACCUAAACUAGUGUGCCAACUCCCCACUCUACUUUGGUCAGAAGACUAGUGAGGUAACGCUAUUAACUAAGGCCCUGAUCCUGCAAUAAGCUCUGUGCAGGCACCGGAGUUUGUGACCCAAAUCUUACCUAAGAGAUGCUCUGAGGCUUUUCCUGGGAAAGAGGUUGCAACAUUAGAAAGAUUCACUGAAUAUUUCCACUUUUGGGUGCGCUAAUACUCUCUCCUCAAGGCCGGCUCUGUGAGACAAAACAACCUGAUUUUGACUGAGGUCUCCACUGGGCUGGGGAAAAAAAGUUGUCUUAAAAAAGAAUGCAAUUCAGCUUCGAUUCGUGACUAAACCAAAGACGUAUUUGUUCUUUUUGCAAGAUUAAUAAAAACAAAAAUUAUUUAUUUUGCGUCGUUCGGUUUUGCAUCUCACCUCACCUUGUUGCAAACUCUGAGACACCCUCACUUGCAACAGGGACCAAUCUUCCACGUUUGCUCCUCAAUAAUGCCUCACAUCCUGAUGCCAGGAGCCCUCACCUGCCCUGCGCAGACAGAAGCAAAACCCUGAUGCCCAGAUCUGUCACCUGCCUUGCAGAGUCAGAAACAAAACCUUGACACCAUUUAUCACCCACAGGGGUUCCCCCCCCGCACACACUGCCUGACCUAAAACCAUCCAAUACAUGCUUUCGUUCUGGUUAUUGAGUGAAGGGCCCAAUUCUGAUCUCACCUGCAAUGGGUUUAUAUCAGCAGCUGCAUUCACUUCUGAUUUAUCCUGGGGAGAAUGUGGGGCCAGGACCCGCGUGUGAAACUACUGCCACUGAUGUGAGGAUUCCAAAAGGACUAGGAAGAUCACAGGACAGGCCCCCAGGCUGGCGUAAGUUGCCAUGUCUACACUGAAGUCAAUGAUGCUCUAUCAACUAACAUCAGCUGAAGAUCUGGCUCCUCAAGGUCAACUACAUCUGUAAGAGCAAAAAAUGUCGGUGUAUUAUGGAAGAUCUAAGACGACAAAAAUGGUACAUUUUUCAGGGCAAGAUGCUGAUAACUCACGCCGAUUAGCGCUUUACUCCACAAACAGUUUCCGUGGCUUCAGUGGGACGACUCAAUCAUUAAUACCAGGGUGGAUAAAAAUCAAUGAUUAAAAAAAAAAAAAUCUGAUUUUUUUUUUAUUUAAAUCGGAUUUUUUUGGUAAAAUGCUUUUUGAGGAAAAAGCCUAUCUAAAGAUAGUUUUAAUUAAGAUACCUUAUAGCUCAAAGAUAUCUCAUCAUGGAAUAAGGAUUAUAAAUUCUAAUUUUAAAGUAUGAGACAAUAUAUUCACGUAAUGUUUAAGAAAAGUUCUGUAAAUGAGUUCCAAUAGUUCAUGGAUUAGGGACCCAAUCUUAUCGGGUUCCAGGGGCUUCUGUAUAGAUUAUUUAGAUUAAUCUUUCUAUCUACCCAAUGGGACUCAGUGCUCAGGCUAGAGGAUAUCAUCAGAGAUGCUUAGUUUUUCAGUUCUCAAACUGUGGAUUUGUGUCUCCAGAGGUAACAUGCUUGUUAACAGCAAAAAUGUUUUAAAAUAAAUAAAUAAUAUAUAGAGGUGAAAAAUAACAGACCUCAACUCUAUUGUCCCUCUGCAAAUUUGUGUACACAGAGUCAAUCCCUUACCUCUCUCUAAAGGUGCAAAGUUUCAAAAAGUUCAAUGAAUAGAAGCUUGUUGGGGGCGGAAUAGAUCUGGACAAGGAGAAGAAGUCUGGAGAUAAAUGUGAGAAGCGAGGGACAUACGCUUGUUUUGUUAAAAUAUUAUAUGUUUGCUGUUGAAGAAAAAAAUCCAGAAUACUUAACGUUGUUGUUUUAGUUAACUAAAACAAUUUAAAUGUCUGUCUGGUGAUGUUCUCCUCCUAAGACAGCAUGGCAAGAAAAUCCUCCAAAUAUUAAUGAUUAACCUGUUGAAUUUGAGAUAGUUCACCUCCCAAUGACUUCAUAAAUAUCUGCUUCAAUUACCUUUGGUAAAUGAAAUAACCAAACAAUCAUUUGUUUUCUGAUAUAGUUGUAAAACUAAUCUGAAAAGUUUUCAAAAUAAAUCACUGUUUAAAAAUGUAUGGCAUGUACCUUCUAAAAAUGAAAACUACAUCUAUCUCUGAGUUGUGGAGAAUAUGUAUUAGGGUUAUAACAACCAACAAGAAUGCACUUUUAUGUAGAAAACCAUGAUUAAAUCGAGUCUUCCUGACUAGUGAUUUAAAUCAAUUUGCUUUAAAUCAAGUCCACCCUGAUUAAUACGAUUUGUGGAAUAAAGGUAAUGUGACCAUCUUACGGUAUCAAAA
Chelonia mydas (Green sea turtle) is the source of this 17230-nucleotide long non-coding RNA. RefSeq lists it as uncharacterized. The transcript is spliced from 2 exons. NCBI's taxonomy places the organism in Eukaryota, Metazoa, Chordata, Testudines, Cheloniidae. The record is from RefSeq and is a predicted model, not a curated record.